UACGGAGGAUGCGAGCGUUAUCCGGAUUUAUUGGGUUUAAAGGGUGCGUAGGCGGACUGUCAAGUCAGCGGUAAAAUUGGGAGGCUCAACCUCUUCCCGCCGUUGAAACUGGUGGUCUUGAGUGGAUGAGAAGUACGCGGAAUGCGUGGUGUAGCGGUGAAAUGCAUAGAUAUCACGCAGAACUCCGAUUGCGAAGGCAGCGUACUGGCAUCCAACUGACGCUGAGGCACGAAAGCGUGGGGAUCAAACAGG
RNAcentral lists this ribosomal RNA (252 nucleotides) under uncultured bacterium. RNAcentral's name for it is "partial 16S ribosomal RNA". It matches the Rfam family "Bacterial small subunit ribosomal RNA", at positions 524 to 776 of the family's 1533-position model. The record is from RNAcentral.